RNAcentral lists this ribosomal RNA (315 nucleotides) under uncultured eukaryote. Its description in RNAcentral is "partial 18S ribosomal RNA". It matches the Rfam family "Eukaryotic small subunit ribosomal RNA", at positions 1470 to 1796 of the family's 1831-position model. The record is from RNAcentral.
CCCUUAGACGUUCUGGGCCGCACGCGCGCUACACUGACCAGUGCAACAAGCAUCCGUCCUUGGCCGACAGGCCCGGGCAAUCUUUGAACGCUGGUCGUGAUGGGGAUAGACUUUUGCAAUUUUUGGUCUUCAACGAGGAAUUCCUAGUAAACGCAAGUCAUCAACUUGCAUUGAUUACGUCCCUGCCCUUUGAACACACCGCCCGUCGCACCUACCGAUUGAAUGGUCCGGUGAAGCCUCCGGAUUGGCGCGCACCUCGGUGCCGCCGAGAAGUUGGCUAAACCUUACCAUUUAGAGGAAGGUGAAGUCGUAACA